GAUGAACGCUGGCGGCGUGCCUAAUACAUGCAAGUCGAGCGAACAGACGAGGAGCUUGCUCCUCUGACGUUAGCGGCGGACGGGUGAGUAACACGUGGAUAACCUGCCUAUAAGACUGGGAUAACUUCGGGAAACCGGAGCUAAUACCGGAUAAUAUAUUGAACCGCAUGGUUCAAUAGUGAAAGACGGUUUUGCUGUCACUUAUAGAUGGAUCCGCGCCGCAUUAGCUAGUUGGUAAGGUAACGGCUUACCAAGGCAACGAUGCGUAGCCGACCUGAGAGGGUGAUCGGCCACACUGGAAUUGAGACACGGUCCAGACUCCUACGGGAGGCAGCAGUAGGGAAUCUUCCGCAAUGGGCGAAAGCCUGACGGAGCAACGCCGCGUGAGUGAUGAAGGUCUUCGGAUCGUAAAACUCUGUUAUUAGGGAAGAACAAAUGUGUAAGUAACUAUGCACGUCUUGACGGUACCUAAUCAGAAAGCCACGGCUAACUACGUG
RNAcentral lists this ribosomal RNA (497 nucleotides) under uncultured bacterium. RNAcentral describes it as "partial 16S ribosomal RNA". It matches the Rfam family "Bacterial small subunit ribosomal RNA", at positions 28 to 507 of the family's 1533-position model. The record is from RNAcentral.